This 114-nucleotide ribosomal RNA is filed under the name Setophoma terrestris. RNAcentral's name for it is "partial large subunit ribosomal RNA". Lineage: Eukaryota; Fungi; Ascomycota; Dothideomycetes; Pleosporales; Phaeosphaeriaceae. The record is from RNAcentral.
AGGUCUCUGUCACGUACCUCCUUUCGGGGAGGCCUUAUAGGGGAGACGUCAUACAACCAGCCUGGACUGAGGUCCGCGCAUCUGCUAGGAUGCUGGCGUAAUGGCUGUAAGCGG